AACCAUUGAUGAAGUGGCAUCAAUGAAGGACCAAGCGGGGUCGAUAAG
RNAcentral lists this non-coding RNA (48 nucleotides) under unclassified sequences. RNAcentral's name for it is "gut-2 RNA". It matches the Rfam family "gut-2 RNA". Rfam says of the family: gut metagenomes. Environment (Cow rumen (57)) The record is from Rfam by way of RNAcentral.